Molecule: non-coding RNA, 83 nt
Organism: Dipodomys ordii (Ord's kangaroo rat)
Lineage: Eukaryota; Metazoa; Chordata; Mammalia; Rodentia; Heteromyidae
Source: Rfam
CCCAGCUUUAAACUCAAUCCAUAGUUCAACAAGGUGAAGACACUCAAAAUUGGAAUUAUUUAGCACUAACUUUUAAAAGAAAC